AGGCGACGACGGGUAGCCGGCCUGAGAGGGCGACCGGCCACACUGGGACUGAGACACGGCCCMGACUYCUACGGGAGGCAGCAGUGGGGAAUAUUGCACAAUGGGCGAAAGCCUGAUGCAGCGACGCCGCGUGAGGGAUGACGGCCUUCGGGUUGUAAACCUCUUUCAGCAGGGAAGAAGCUUUCGGGUGACGGUACCUGCAGAAGAAGCGCCGGCUAACUACGUGCCAGCAGCCGCGGUAAUACGUAGGGCGCAAGCGUUGUCCGGAAUUAUUGGGCGUAAAGAGCUCGUAGGCGGCUUGUCGCGUCGGUUGUGAAAGCCCGGGGCUUAACCCCGGGUCUGCAGUCGAUACGGGCAGGCUAGAGUUCGGUAGGGGAGAUCGGAAUUCCUGGUGUAGCGGUGGAAUGCGCAGAUAUCAGGAGGAACACCGGUGGCGAAGGCGGAUCUCUGGGCCGAUACUGACGCUGAGGAGCGAAAGCGUGGGGAGCAAACAGGAUUAGAUACCCUGGUAGUCCACGCCGUAAACGGUGGGCACUAGGUGUGGGSGACAUUCCACGUCGUCCGUGCCGCAGCUAACGCAUUAAGUGCCCCGCCUGGGGAGUACGG
RNAcentral lists this ribosomal RNA (606 nucleotides) under Streptomyces sp. CMT66. Its description in RNAcentral is "bacterial SSU rRNA". It matches the Rfam family "Bacterial small subunit ribosomal RNA", at positions 271 to 885 of the family's 1533-position model. The record is from RNAcentral. Lineage: Bacteria; Bacillati; Actinomycetota; Actinomycetes; Kitasatosporales; Streptomycetaceae.